CAUCUUCUGAAACAUCAGGAUCAUCAGGUCUACAGUGAAGUCAGCAUGAAGACUCUCAGCCUGACAGUGGGACUGCUGCUCAUGCUGUUCACCGUUUACCACAGCGAUGCCUCUAAGGCAGUGAUUUCUCCUGACUUUUGUUGUUUUCACUUCUUUGACAAACGGAUCCCAAAGGCGAACAUCGUCUCCAUCGUGAAAACUCACAGACAAUGCCCCACACCAGCAUUUGUGAUCAAGACACACAAAAGGCUUUUGUGUGUUAAACAGACUGCAGAGUGGGCAAAAGAACAAUUUGACAACCAAAGGAGAUUUUGACCCAGCCUGAUAUGACAAUGUCUUAAAGAGCUUCAUCUGAUGAGGAAAGUUUAUAAUGCAACAAUAUGUAAAAACAUGUAUUGAAUUAUUUUAUAAUUUUCUUUCACUAUGCAAU
This is a long non-coding RNA of Maylandia zebra (zebra mbuna), 430 nucleotides long. RefSeq lists it as uncharacterized. The record is from RefSeq and is a predicted model, not a curated record. NCBI's taxonomy places the organism in Eukaryota, Metazoa, Chordata, Actinopteri, Cichliformes, Cichlidae.